Molecule: ribosomal RNA, 675 nt
Filed under: uncultured bacterium
Lineage: Bacteria
Description: bacterial SSU rRNA
Rfam family: Bacterial small subunit ribosomal RNA
Source: RNAcentral
GAUGUCAACUAGCCGUUGGGACUCUUGAAGUCUUAGUGGCGCAGCUAACGCACUAAGUUGACCGCCUGGGGAGUACGGCCGCAAGGUUAAAACUCAAAUGAAUUGACGGGGGCCCGCACAAGCGGUGGAGCAUGUGGUUUAAUUCGACGCAACGCGAAGAACCUUACCUGGCCUUGACAUCCAGAGAACUUUCCAGAGAUGGAUUGGUGCCUUCGGGAACUCUGUGACAGGUGCUGCAUGGCCGUCGUCAGCUCGUGUCGUGAGAUGUUGGGUUAAGUCCCGUAACGAGCGCAACCCCUAUCCCUGGUUGCUAGCAGGUAAUGCUGAGAACUCCAGGGAGACUGCCGGUGACAAACCGGAGGAAGGUGGGGAUGACGUCAGGUCAUCAUGGCCCUUACGGCCAGGGCUACACACGUGCUACAAUGGCGCGUACAGAGGGCUGCGAACUCGCGAGAGUAAGCCAAUCCCUUAAAACGCGUCGUAGUCCGGAUCGGAGUCUGCAACUCGACUCCGUGAAGUCGGAAUCGCUAGUAAUCGCGAAUCAGAAUGUCGCGGUGAAUACGUUCCCGGGCCUUGUACACACCGCCCGUCACACCAUGGGAGUGGAUUGCACCAGAAGUGGUUAGUCUAACCUCCGGGAGGACGAUCACCACGGUGUGGUUCAUGACUGGGGUG